AACGAACGCUGGCGGCGUGCCUAACACAUGCAAGUCGUGCGAGAAAGUUCCUUCGGGAGCGAGUAAAGCGGCGCACGGGUGAGUAACACGUAGGUAACCUGCCCCCCAGUCUGGAACAACUAGAGGAAACUCUAGCUAAUGCCGGAUGAGACCACGAUCCCUUCGGGGGUUGCGGCCAAAGAUGGCCUCUACUUGUAAGCUAUCGCUGAGGGAUGGGCCUGCGGGCCAUUAGCUUGUUGGUGAGGUAACGGCUCACCAAGGCUGUGAUGGCUAGCUGGUCUGAGAGGAUGACCAGCCACACUGGGACUGAGACACGGCCCAGACUCCUACGGGAGGCAGCAGUGGGGAAUAUUGCGCAAUGGGCGAAAGCCUGACGCAGCAACGCCGCGUGGGUGAUGAAGGCCU
Molecule: ribosomal RNA, 405 nt
Filed under: uncultured bacterium
Lineage: Bacteria
Description: bacterial SSU rRNA
Rfam family: Bacterial small subunit ribosomal RNA
Source: RNAcentral